RNAcentral lists this transfer RNA (71 nucleotides) under Bos taurus (domestic cattle). It matches the Rfam family "tRNA". From Rfam's summary of the family: Transfer RNA (tRNA) molecules are approximately 80 nucleotides in length. Lineage: Eukaryota; Metazoa; Chordata; Mammalia; Artiodactyla; Bovidae. The record is from Rfam by way of RNAcentral. RNAcentral also lists the same sequence under 2 other names.
UCCCACGUGGCUCAGUGGUAAAGAAUCUGCCUGCUAAGCAGGAGAUGCAGGUUGGAUCUCUGGUUUGGGAG